GAGACGGAGUUUCACUCGUACUGCUGCCCAGGCUAUAUAGUGCAAUGGCACCAUCUUGGCUCACCACAACCUCCGCCUCCCAGGUUCAAGCGAUUCUCCUGCCUCAGCCUCCCGAGUAGCUUGGAUUACAGGCAUGCACCGCCACGCCCAGCUAAUUUUGUAUUUUUAGUAAAGAUGGAGUUUCUCCAUGUUGGUCGGGCUGGUCUCAAACUCCCGACCUCAGGUGAUCCUCCCGCCUCGGCCUCCCAAAGUGCUGGGAUUACAGGCAUGAGCCAUGGCACCCGGCCAGGCUGAGAAUUCUUAAGACAGGAUUUUUUAAGGAUAGUUUGGUAAGCAUGGGGCUAGGGGAUGGGUUGAUGUGUUGGGUACUAUGGGGAACGUGGAAGUGGAGAAUAGUGUGGACUUUUGAAAGGAUGUCUGCCUAGGAGUGGAGUUGGGCAUGAGGGCAGGACUAAAAAAGAGUGAGUGAAGGAAAAGGUAUGCAGGGAGCAGAAGAGUGGAGGGGUGGCUCGGGGUUUGGAGACUUGCCCGUCAAUUCCCACAACAGAGACUUGGGAGGACUGGGUGGGUCCUGAAAAAUUAGGUAAAGCAGAGUAGGUUGCCCGGUAUUAAAUAAGAAAAAAUACUGGCCUACCUGCCACCAUCAGGGUUACCCUUGUCUUAGAUGAAGCAAUGGUAGUUGCCGGGGCGUCCAUUCCAGGGCCCCAUCAGUCUUCAGUGGCAAGGCCAGUGAGAUCCGAGUAGGAGGUUUUGGCCAGCUCAGGAAGGGAUGGGAGUGGUCCUUGUGGGGGCCGCUCACAGUCCAACUUCCAGUGGGGUCCUCUGCAGAGGGGGCAUGGCCUGAUGGGCUUACCUGGGUUUGGGCAUUGUCUAGACCAGUGGCCUUCAUUGCCAUACUUGAAACAUGCGCCAGGUGGAGGUGGAUUGCUAGGAGGCUUCUGUGUGGAGCUGCGGCCCUGUGGGCCUGCAGGGCCCCGGAUGGCGGAGUCAAGCAUUUGAAACUCUGCAUGUUUUUGCCUUUUAUUUUCCUCAUCACGAUUGUUAAAGACUUUGAAGGCUAAAUUAAGAAGGUCUCGUUGUGGGUUUUGAGAGCCAUCAUCAAGCUUCUGUAGCUUACGCCGAAUAUCGGGGUGGAUUGGGACAUGAACUAAAGGUUUAAAAUAGUGGUUCCUUCUGGGCUGGUUGGGUCUAGGUUGGUAUAUUUUCUCAUGACUUCAGUUAAACAAGAGAGAAAAAGGGCUGUUUUUUCGUCAGGAUCUUGGGGGAUUUCUGAAAGUUUUUCAUAGUUUAUCGCUUUAUGGGCACCCUUUUUGAGUCCUGCAAGGAGACACAAUUGUGGUCUCAAUGGUAGCGUCCAGAGGCCCUGUCUUGAUAAUCCCAGUGGGGGUCCUGGUUGGGGACUGCCUGUGCGCCAGUAGGCUGGGCAGGAGCUUGGUGAUAAAUUGAUCAGCAUGCCCCUGAGCUAGGGUCCAGAUAUGGUCCCGGUCUUCUGGGGUGAGGGUGGAAGAGAGGAUAACGUAGAGGAUAUGCCAGAUUAGUUCAUAAGACUGGGUAAGGUACUGAAACUCCCUAAUAUAAGAGGUCAGGUCUUCUGGAAAUGAACCCAGUCUUUUGUUAAUUUGAGAGAAAUCAGUGAGGGAGAAGGGAACAUGAACUCUAACAAUACCUUCAGUUCCUGCUACUUCCUGAAGAGGGCACUCUAGCACAGGCACUAAAGUAAGGGUGGGGCAUGGCCAAACAUGGCACCUGAACAAGUGUGGAUGGGAGAGAAGGAAGAACCUGGAAGUGGUUCCUGCUGAGUGUUUGAAGGGGAAAGGGGGAUUGAGUUAACAGGUAGUGGAGGAUAGAUAGGGGCGUAAGGUGGUGGGAUGGGUUUACAAGCCUCAGGAGAAGGCAGUAGGGGAGGAGAAUGGGUACAGGCAAUACUAGAAUUGUCCUGAGGAGGGGGCGGUGUAGGAAAAGAAGCAGAUACUGCUGACUGGGAAGAUGGUGGCUGGGAAGAUGGCGGUUGAGAAGACAACGAGGAGGCUUGGGCUAAAGAAGACGAUUGAGAGGAAGAGGUAGGGGUUGGGAGGGGUGGACAGCAGUCUGCUGGAUCUAACGAGGAAAAAGAGGUAGGGUUGGGAGGAGAAAGACAAUCAGGGUGGCAAGAAUGGAGGAGAAGGAUUUGAACAGGUGAGCAAGAAUUGCAGAGGUCGGGUUGUGAUCUGAGUGCAAAAAGGCCUGGACAUAAGGAAUUUCUCCCCAUUUCUCUAGUCGUUGUCAAUAAUUGCUUAACUCAGUUAAAACUGUAAAGUCGAAUGUUCCAUUUGCGGGCCAUUUGGACCCAUUAUCCAAUUCGUAUUGUGGCCAGACUGAAUUGCAAAAAAAGACAAGGCGCUUAGGGUGGAUAUUUUGCCUGAGGCCUAAGGUUUGCAGGUUUUUUAUGGGGCAGCCUAGAGGGCUGUUUUUUGGAAGGGAGGACCGGGAGUUUCCCAUAACAGAGGGUAGGCUCAGGAGAACAGGGAAAAAGGAGACCGUCCUGGACGGCCAGAGGGAGACAAAAGGAGCAAUCAUCAUCACCGCUGCCUUUUUCAUUCCUGGAACGGGAUCAAAUGGAUUAGAGGCGUCUCCCUAAGACCAGGUGAUGGGAUGAUCAGCGAGUACCUGGCACACGCCGGAGCCUUGCUGGACCGACAUUGGAUUUUUGGACCGUAGACACCAAGAGAGGCCAUGUGGCUUUUCCCUUGUUAACUGGGCUCCUAGGGAAACUUACCAAUAGGCAAGGCCAGUGACCAAUGUGCAUGCACAGAGAGGCAACUGGAGGCUGAGGAGCUUCCUUUGUCCUGCUGCUGUGGCCUGUUCUCCAGGGUGGAGGGGUAGGUCCAUGGGGGAUGUGGACCAGAGCCCCUCCCCGGUUUCGGCACUAGAUGUAAGGUUCUUGUGUUGGUUCAAACCCUGAGAGCACGCCAAAAGACAACACGAAGUGGUGUGGAGCAGCAACAUGCUGUUUUAAUGAGCACAGUGUUUUUCUAGAUAUUGUUAACCAAGAUAAGGAAUCCCUAAAGAGAGGCAGGCUUGAUUUAGAGCUGUCUGAGGGCUUCCAAAAGAGCUGUUCAGUGAAUAAGAAGGAAUCCAACCAUGGAGCAUCAGAGUCUAAGUUGGAUGUAUAGGUUUGUGUGUCUUCAGUAUUGUCUUGUAUUUUAAGACAGAAUUAGAUGUGCCCAUCAGAAAUGAGUGUAUGGCAUGAAAAAGUUGCAGAUGACACAGUAACAGUCUGAUCUCUCUUUCUUUCCCCCACAAUGCUUGUUUGAGGACAUGUAUUAUCACCAGAGAGGACUUGAAACUGCAUAACAAACCGUACUUGCCAGACAUUUCCUAAUCACCUUCUCACUGUUUACUCCCUCCCCCUAUAAUCGAUAAUCGCAAAGCUUCCUUUCCCUUUGACUAUUCUAUUCUCUUCACAAUUUAUCACCCCUUGUUAAAUGGUAUAUAAGCCCCCAGCCCUAAACUCCUACUUGGGUUUUCACUUCUCUUUUGUGAAGCCUCAUUAUGUAUGCAAAAUAAAAUUUUUCUACUGUUAAUCUGUCGUUUAUCAGUUUAAGUGACAGGCUGGGGCUGGGCGCCGUGGCUCACGCCUGUAAUCCCAGCACUUUCGGGAGGCCGAGGUGGCCGGAUCACGAGGUCAGGAGAUCGAGACCAUCCUGGCUAACACAGUGAAACCCCGUCUCUACUAAAAAAUACAAAAAAUUAGACGGGCGUGGGCCGGUCGCGGUGGCUCCCGGCUGUAAUCCUAGCACUUUGGGAGGCCGAGGCGGGCGGAUCACGAGGUCAGGAGAUGGAGACCAUCCUGGCUAACACGGUGAAACCCCGUCUCUACUAAAAAUACAGAAAAUUAGCCGGACGAGGUGGCGGGCCCUGUAGUCCCAGCUACUCGGGAGGCUGAGGCAAGAGAAUGGCGUGAACCCCAGGGGGCGGAGCCUGCAGUGAGCCGAGAUUGCGCCCCACUGCACUCCAGCCUGGGCAACAGCGAGACUACGUCUCAAAAAAAAAAAAAAAAAAAAUUAGCCGGGUGUGGUGGCGGGCGCCUGUAGUCUCAGCUACUCGGCAGGCUGAGGCAGGAGAAUGGCGUGAACCCCGGAGGCAGAGCUUGCAGUGAGCCAAGAUUGUGCCACUGCACUCCAGCCUGGGCGACAGAGCAAGGCUCUGUCUCAAAAAAAAAAAAAAAAGUGACAGGCUCUACACACUGAAUUUAAGAAGGUAGAGGUCGGGUUUUUUCAUCAUCUACAAAGGUACUCUGCUUCUAAAAUGAGUUAGAACAAUGGAUUUGACCACAAUCAGAUGGACAUUAAGGGUAAGAAAGAAAAGUGGCUCAAAGCAGCCUGAGGAAUGUAAAGUAUGCAAAAUUUAUCAGGCUCAGAGAGACUUGAGCAAGAGCCUUCAGUCAUAUCCCUCUCAGCCAUACCCAGGAAUAACUGUUUCAAGGCAUUUUGACAGGGGCGGCGACUCAGCUCUUGCCUGUAAUCCCAGCUACUCAGCAGGCUGAGAUGGGAGGAUCACAUAAGCCCAGGAGUUUGAGACUGCAGCAGGCUAUAAUCAGGCUACUGCAUUUCACCCUGGGCAACGGAGAGAAAACCCAUCUCUAAAAAAGUUAAGAUAAAUAAAAAAUAAAUAAGCAAAAAAUAAAUUUGGAGCCGGGCGCGGUAUCUCAUGCCUGUAAUCCCAGCACUUUGGGAGGCCGAGGUGGGUGGAUCACCUGAGGUCAGGAGUUUGAGACCGGCCUAGCCAACAUGGUGAAACACCAUCUCUACUAAAAAUACAAAAAAUUAGCCAGGUGUGGUGGUGGGCGCCUGUAAUCCUAGCUACUCGGGAGGCCGAGGCAGGAGAAUCGCUUGAACCCAGGAGGUAGAGGUUGCAGUGAGCCAAGAUCGCACCAUUGCACUCCAGCCUGGGCAACAAGAGCGAAAUUCCAUCUCUAAAUAAAUAAAUAAAUUUUGGUGGUUUUUUUUUUCUUUCCUGUUGUUUCCAGACUAAUAACCUAAAAUGUUACCACAAGUUGGGCAAUGUGAGUCUCACUCAUUACCUUCUUUUUCCUGAAAUUAGUGACAUAAAGAAAAAUGUAUAGCCAACAAUAGCUUAUGUUAUUUUAAUAAACCAAUGUAAAAUUU
This 5147-nucleotide long non-coding RNA is filed under the name Homo sapiens (human). Its description in RNAcentral is "HSALNT0326350". Lineage: Eukaryota; Metazoa; Chordata; Mammalia; Primates; Hominidae. The record is from RNAcentral.